CUCCGACUCCUCGCAUGGGGUGUCGGGAAAGAUUUCAUCGGUAUGGGAUGGGGUCGCGUCCUAUCAGGUAGUCGGCGGGGUAACGGCCCACCGAGCCUACGACGGGUAGCCGGCCUGAGGAGGCGACCGGCCACAUUGGGACUGAGAUACGGCCCAGACUCCUACGGGAGGCAGCAGUGGGGAAUAUUGCACAAUGGGCGCAAGCCUGAUGCAGCGACGCCGCGUGCGGGAUGACGGCCUUCGGGUUGUAAACCGCUUUUGAUCGGGAGCAAGCCUUCGGGUGAGUGUACCUUUCGAAUAAGCACCGGCUAACUACGUGCCAGCAGCCGCGGUAAUACGUAGGGUGCAAGCGUUAUCCGGAAUUAUUGGGCGUAAAGGGCUCGUAGGCGGUUCGUCGCGUCCGGUGUGAAAGUCCAUCGCUUAACGGUGGAUCUGCGCCGGGUACGGGCGGG
RNAcentral lists this ribosomal RNA (452 nucleotides) under uncultured Bifidobacterium sp. RNAcentral's name for it is "bacterial SSU rRNA". It matches the Rfam family "Bacterial small subunit ribosomal RNA", at positions 173 to 640 of the family's 1533-position model. Lineage: Bacteria; Bacillati; Actinomycetota; Actinomycetes; Bifidobacteriales; Bifidobacteriaceae. The record is from RNAcentral.